AAACUGCAGUUGUAAUCCAGGAUUCACGGGCCUGUAGGGGCUCAGACUUCAAAUUGAACCGCGCCUCGGCGGCAGCCACAGGUGUAAUACACGAGGCCCAGGUACCAGAAGGUGUCCAGCAGGGCCUUGGCGGCGCCCUAGCAGCUGAGGUCCAGCCGCUGCGCGCCCAGGUUCAUCUCAUUAGUGGACGCCGCGGGCCCGCGAGUUCGGAGCAGCGCGUGUAUCUGUGGGUCUUUGGGGCUGGCCUCGCUAGCCUACCAGCUUCCUUUCGGUGAUGCUCUUUGCUACCGCCAGGCUCCUGACCCCAGCUUGGACAGCAGGCCGCCGAGCGCCCCUGACGCCCGUUACCGAGAUGGCUGCGCAGAAGGAGUGGCUGUGGGGCUGUGAUCUCUCCUAGAACCUCAGAGGCAUGAAGCUAGAAUAUCUUCCCCUUCAAGGAGAAUAAGCCAAGAACACAAGAAGAUCAGAGGCUGUAAGGAGCUGCUAUAAGGCCUUCUCCCAGUCACUUCCCUCUCUCUCCUGAGAGGCUGUCUUGAAUGAAUUUCUCAUCACUUACCAGAUUCUGAUGAGGGUAUAUGAGACAAGGACCUGGGGAGUUGGCCUCUUUGGUUCAUUCUUUGUACUGUUUAUCUAUGGUUGUUGCGGCCUUUGUUGAUGACAUUCAGCAUUGACUUCUUGGGUAAGGUAUUCAGUAGUUAAGAUUCAAUGACUCCAGUGAAAGGUAUGUUUCCAUCGUGAUGUUCUUCUUCUGGACAAUAAGUGAAAAGAGCAUGAUGCAUACAGAACUGCUACUUUUGUGAUGUUGCAAGUAAUGGUAUAGAUGUGCACAAAUCAUGGAUGUGGUCCCAGUGAUCCAUGGAAAUGUGAAGUCCAGGAAGGUAUGUGGCCCUUCCUGAGGUGUGUUCUAAGUUGGUCUCCUAGGGUCCUGAAGGGGACUCCUGGAUGGUCUGUGGAAGGUGUUCUACCUAGAGGCAGCCUCUUAUGGGGGUGGCUCCUGCCCACCUCUGCUGCUUAUGCUGCAGUUACUGGUGUUGCUUGGAAGCUGCCUCCAGGACGUCCUUCACCUUUCUGUUCUCCUCAAACCACUUUCUGGAGGGCCAGCCAGAAGGAUUUUGGAAUCAUCAUUCCAUCCCUCAACUCCUCCCUUCAGCUUCCCUUCAUUGUGCUGUGGAAGAAGAGCUCUUCGCUGAAUGCAGAGUGGAUGUUUCCAUAGAACAGCUGGCUCAUUUGACUCCGCAAGUCCUCCUACUUUACCUGUCGGUUUAUCAUCAGCUUCUCUUUGGAAGCUCAUACGUGAAAGGAACUCAUCUCCAGAUGAGACUUUGGACGUGGAACUUGGGACUUGGGACUUUUGAAGUAAUGCUGGAAUGGGUUAAGUCUUUGGGGGACUAUUAUGAAGGCAUGAUUGUAUUUUGCAAUGUGAGAAAGACUUAAAAUUUGGGGGUCUAGGAAUGUAAUAAUAUGGUUUGGUUGUUUGUCCCCUUCAAAUCUCAUGUUGAAAUAUCAUCCCGUGUUGGAGGUGGGGCCUGGUGGAAGGUGUUUGGAUCAUGGGGAUAGAUCCCUCAUGAAUGGUUUAGUGCCAUCCCCUUGGUGAUGAGUGAGUUCUCAUUAUUGCAGUUCGUGUGACAUCUGGUUGUUUAAAAGAGUGUGGCGCCUCCCCCAGCCCCCACUCCUGCUCUCACCCUGGGCCAUGCCUACUCCUUCAUUUUCUACUAUGAUUGGAAGCUUCCUAAGGUCCUCACAAGCAGCAGAUACUGCCACCACACUUCCUGUACAGCCUGCAGAACCAUCAGCCCAAAUAAACCAUUUUCUUUAUAAAUUACCCAGUCUCAGGUAUUCCUUUAGAGCAACACAAAACAGACUAACACAAUUGUGAUAAUCAUUUCACAAUAUAUACAUAUAUCGAAUCAUCACAUUACAUACCUUAAAUAUAUAUAAUUUUGUCAAUUAUACCUCAAUACAGCUGAAAAAAAUCUAACAAUUUGCAGAUGCUUUUCUAUUUUUUAUGUACACAAUCGUAUCAUUUGCAAAUACUGAUGUUAGUUUUGUCUUUUCAACACUUUCCCCUUGUAUUUAUUUUUAAUGUAUUAUUUCUUUUCCUUGGAUCUCCAAUACAAUGCUAAAUAUGAACAAUGACAGAAUCCUUGUGUUGUUCCUGACCUCAAGAGGAAAUAUUUAAAUAUUUAUCCAAAAGUGUUAUGUGUGUUGUAU
Long non-coding RNA from Homo sapiens (human), 2211 nucleotides. Lineage: Eukaryota; Metazoa; Chordata; Mammalia; Primates; Hominidae. The record is from Ensembl.